RNAcentral lists this ribosomal RNA (281 nucleotides) under uncultured Bacillus sp. RNAcentral's name for it is "partial 16S ribosomal RNA". It matches the Rfam family "Bacterial small subunit ribosomal RNA", at positions 394 to 669 of the family's 1533-position model. The record is from RNAcentral. Lineage: Bacteria; Bacillati; Bacillota; Bacilli; Caryophanales; Bacillaceae.
ACGCCGCGUGAGUGAUGAGGUUUUCGGAUCGUAAGCUCUGUUGUUAGGGAAGAACAAGUGCGAUACUAACUGCUCGCACCUUGACGGUACCUAACCAGAAAGCCACGGCUAACUACGUGCCAGCAGCCGCGGUAAUACGUAAGUGGCAAGCGUUGUCCGGAAUUAUUGGGCGUAAAGGGCUCGCAGGCGGUUUCUUAAGUCUGAUGUGAAAGCCCCCGGCUCAACCGGGGAGGGUCAUUGGAAACUGGGAAACUUGAGUGCAGAAGAGGAAAGUGGAAUUC